CACACGACUCUCGGCAACGGAUAUCUUGGCUCUCGCAUCGAUGAAGAACGUAGCGAAAUGCGAUACCUGGUGUGAAUUGCAGAAUCCCGCGAACCAUCGAGUCUUUGAACGCAAGUUGCGCCCGAGGCCUUUUGGCUAAGGGCACGCCUGCCUGGGCGUCACGC
This 164-nucleotide ribosomal RNA is filed under the name Parapholis incurva. Its description in RNAcentral is "5.8S ribosomal RNA". It matches the Rfam family "5.8S ribosomal RNA". From Rfam's summary of the family: 5.8S ribosomal RNA (5.8S rRNA) is a component of the large subunit of the eukaryotic ribosome. The record is from RNAcentral. Lineage: Eukaryota; Viridiplantae; Streptophyta; Magnoliopsida; Poales; Poaceae.